CGCCGAAUCAGACAGAUCUAGCUGCACAAAAAUGUCCGGAACCUUGUCAUUGGUGAUGAAAAACGAAACACUCUGGCUGCACAAUAAUAUGCAGGUGGCCGGCCGGAUCGCCAUUCAUCCGGGAUGUUUGUACUCCGGCAUUUGAGUAAGUACUCCGUCCGGAAAUAUUUGUCGGAGGAAUAGACGUAUCUAGACGUAUUUUAGUUUUAGAUACAUCUAUUUUUAUACAUUUUUUCAUAAGUAUUUCGGAACGGAGGAAGUACGACACAAGCAGAUGAUAAACUAGAUUAUUUCCGGAAUUCGCUCCAUGUCCAUGACGAGCACGGACACCCAAGGAAAAAGAUAAGCACUCCCCAUGCUCUAUUCUAAGAGAUGCAACGAUCGAUGCCCUUUUGAGUUCACCUGAAGCUCAUUCCACGGAAAGCAAUGGCGUUGCCACAAACUGAAGUACUCCGUAUCCAAAAGUGACACCUUUCCCACAGUUACACAACGGGAAUGUGUGGCAGAUAUACUACCUUGAGCUGACAGCAAUGGGGGUAUGGAAAAGGGUCGAAUAAACCAGAGAAAGUUGCUGCCGCGGUGCGGAGAUCCACAUCCAUCAAUCAACCAGUACAUACAUAGAUAGAGGCGGCAGAGAGAGAGCUCACCUUGGAAGUAGGAGCCGGCCUGCAGGCGAGAGGAGGAUGGCAGGGACUGCAAAGGGCAAAAUGACUGCUAGUAGUGUUGCUGCUGUCUAGGUUCCAUCCUCUCCAUGGGCGCCAUCAGAUCCCCUUUUCCUUGACCGUUGAAGGGACAACAGGGCGCACAUGGGCUACCGGAGGCGCCACGGAAC
Molecule: long non-coding RNA, 832 nt
Filed under: Triticum aestivum (bread wheat)
Lineage: Eukaryota; Viridiplantae; Streptophyta; Magnoliopsida; Poales; Poaceae
Description: long non-coding RNA (TAES_LNC001879)
Rfam family: MIR1120/MIR1122 microRNA precursor family (bases 147-266)
Source: RNAcentral